RNAcentral lists this ribosomal RNA (2030 nucleotides) under human gut metagenome. Its description in RNAcentral is "bacterial LSU rRNA". It matches the Rfam family "Bacterial large subunit ribosomal RNA", at positions 437 to 2471 of the family's 2925-position model. The record is from RNAcentral.
CUCGAAGAUGGGGGGACCAUCCUCCAAGGCUAAAUACUCGUAAUCGACCGAUAGCGAACCAGUACUGUGAAGGAAAGGCGAAAAGAACCCCGGGAGGGGAGUGAAAUAGAUCCUGAAACCGCAUACAUACAAACAGUAGGAGCCCGCAAGGGUGACUGCGUACCUUUUGCAUAAUGGGUCAGCGACUUACGUUCAAUGGCAAGCUUAACCGAGUAGGGGAGGCGCAGCGAAAGCGAGUCCGAACAGGGCGAUAUGAGUCGUUGGGCGUAGACCCGAAACCAGAUGAUCUAUCCAUGGCCAGGCUGAAGGUGUGGUAACACACACUGGAGGGCCGAACCGACUAGUGUUGCAAAAUUAGCGGAUGAGCUGUGGAUAGGGGUGAAAGGCUAAACAAAUCUGGAGAUAGCUGGUUCUCCCCGAAAACUAUUGAGGUAGUGCCUCGUGUAUGGCUCCAGGGGGUAGAGCACUGUUAUGGCUAGGGGGACAUGGCGUCUUACCAAACCAUGGCAAACUCCGAAUACUUGGAAGUCUGAGCACGGGAGACAGAGCACCGGGUGCUAACGUCCGGACUCAAAAGGGAAACAACCCAGACCGCCGGCUAAGGUCCCUAAUAUUGACUAAGUGGAAAACGAAGUGGGAAGGCUAAGACAGUCAGGAAGUUGGCUUAGAAGCAGCCAUCCUUCAAAGAAAGCGUAAUAGCUCACUGAUCGAGUCUUCCUGCGCGGAAGAUGUAACGGGGCUAAGUCAAUAACCGAAGCCGCGGAUUCGCAGCAAUGCGAGUGGUAGGGGAGCGUUCUGUAAGCCUGCGAAGGCGGAUCUGCGAGGACCGCUGGAGGUAUCAGAAGUGCGAAUGCUGACAUGAGUAACGUUAAAGCGGGUGAAAAGCCCGCUCGCCGCAAGCCCAAGGUUUCCUGCUCUACGUUCAUCGGAGCAGGGUGAGUCGGCCCCUAAGGUCAGGCUGAGAAGCGUAGCUGAUGGGAAGCUGGUUAAUAUUCCAGCACCGAUUUCAAGUGCGAAGGGGGGACGGAGUCCUGAAGGUCAUCCGGGUGUUGGAUAUCCCGGUUUACGAGCGUAGGAGGUUGACAGGCAAAUCCGUCAACGAAUCUCCAAGGCGAAGGAUCGAGGUUGAGAGAUCAACUGAAGUGACUGAAUGGGCUUCCAGGAAAAGCCUCUAAGCAUCAGCUUGGAAUUGACCGUACCGCAAACCGACACUGGUGGGCGAGCUGAAUAUGCUCAGGCGCUUGAGAGAACUCAGGAGAAGGAACUCGGCAAAUUGACCCCGUAACUUCGGGAUAAGGUGUGCCUUUGUAGUGUGAAGGGAGAAACACCCCGAGCAUGAAGAGGCCUCAGAGAAUCGGUGGCUGCAACUGUUUACUAAAAACACAGCACUCUGCAAAGAUGAAAGUCGACGUAUAGGGUGUGAUGCCUGCCCGGUGCUGGAAGAUUAAUUGAUGGGGUGCAAGCUCCUGAUCGAAGUCCCAGUAAACGGCGGCCGUAACUAUAACGGUCCUAAGGUAGCGAAAUUCCUUGUCGGGCAAGUUCCGACCUGCACGAAUGGCAUAAUGAUGGCCACACUGUCUCCUCCUGAGACUCAGUGAAGUUGAAAUGUUUGUGAUGAUGCAAUCUCCCCGCGGCUAGACGGAAAGACCCCAUGAACCUUUACUGCAGCUUUGCAUUGGACUUUGAACCGAUCUGUGUAGGAUAGGUGGGAGGCAGUGAAGCUAGGACGCCAGUCUUAGCGGAGCCAACCUUGAAAUACCACCCUGAUUUGUUUGAGGUUCUAACCUAGGAGCGUGAUCCGCUUCGGGGACCGUGCAUGGUAGGCAGUUUGACUGGGGCGGUCUCCUCCUAAAGGGUAACGGAGGAGUGCGAAGGUACGCUAGGUACGGUCGGAAAUCGUGCUGAUAGUGCAAUGGCAAAAGCGUGCUUGACUGCGAGACCGACAAGUCGAGCAGAUACGAAAGUAGGUCAUAGUGAUCCGGUGGCUCUGCAUGGAAGGGCCAUCGCUCAACGGAUAAAAGGUACUCUGG